Molecule: long non-coding RNA, 399 nt
Filed under: Ficedula albicollis (Collared flycatcher)
Lineage: Eukaryota; Metazoa; Chordata; Aves; Passeriformes; Muscicapidae
Description: lncRNA (ENSFALG00000023755.1)
Source: RNAcentral
AUGAGCUCACAAAAACACCGGACAAGAUUUUAUCAAUCCUCCUUUGAAUCAGACCUCUGUAAAAGAUCAAUAAACAUUAGACUAGUGCCUGCUGAGAAGUCGGGUGCACAUAACUCUGUGGAGAUUCUUAGUUUUCAUCCAUUAUCACACAAUCUUAUUGUGAGAGCAUUCCUGGCAUCAUCACUUGUCUCAACUGAUUAUUUAAUGGAGAUAUCCUAUCACCAUCUCCACAAUGCAGAUAUUUUUCGAGGAGUGCAGUCGGAAAGGAAGAGAUGGAACUGCAGUGCACAUGCCAGCUGGGAAUCGGUGACUCAGGAUAUUCAGUCACAAAUGGUGUCUGUCCGUUUCCAGCUGAAGGCAGGGAGGUUUGAGCUUGGUCUAAGAGCAGAAUUCUACUAG